RNAcentral lists this unclassified non-coding RNA (334 nucleotides) under soil metagenome. Its description in RNAcentral is "partial contains 5.8S ribosomal RNA, internal transcribed spacer 2, and large subunit ribosomal RNA". The stretch from base 1 to 120 matches the Rfam family "5.8S ribosomal RNA", at positions 35 to 154 of the family's 154-position model. The record is from RNAcentral.
GAUGAAGAACGCAGCGAAAUGCGAUAAGUAAUGUGAAUUGCAGAAUUCAGUGAAUCAUGGAAUCUUUGAACGCACAUUGCGCCCGCCAGUAUUCUGGCGAGCAUGCCUGUUCGAGCGUCAUUUCAACCAUCAAGCCCCAGGCUUGUGUUGGAGCCCUGCGGCUGCCGCAGCCUCCCAAAACCAGUGGCGGGCUCGCUAUCACACCGAGUGCAGUAGUUUACUCUUCGCUCAGGGCGUGUGGCGGGUGCUAGCCGUGAAACCCCCAACUUCUCAAGGUUGACCUCGGAUCAGGUAGGAAUACCCGCUGAACUUAAGCAUAUCAAUAAGCGGAGGA